This 437-nucleotide ribosomal RNA is filed under the name Theileria sp. RNAcentral describes it as "SSU rRNA". It matches the Rfam family "Eukaryotic small subunit ribosomal RNA", at positions 447 to 931 of the family's 1831-position model. Lineage: Eukaryota; Apicomplexa; Aconoidasida; Piroplasmida; Theileriidae. The record is from RNAcentral.
AAUCCUGACACAGGGAGGUAGUGACAAGAAAUAACAAUACGGGGCUCAACGCCUUGUAAUUGGAAUGAUGGGAACCUAAACCCCUUCCAGAGUAUCAAUUGGAGGGCAAGUCUGGUGCCAACAGCCGCGGUAAUUCCAGCUCCAAUAGCGUAUAUUAAAAUUGUUGCAGUUAAAAAGCUCGUAGUUGAAUUUCUGCCGCCCCGCCGCGGCCCCCGGGCCCGGCGUCGCGGCUUAUUUCGGCGACCUCGCGCCGCCGAAUGUUUACUUUGAGAAAAUUAGAGUGCUCAAAGCAGGCCCUUGCCUUGAAUACUUUAGCAUGGAAUAAUAAAGUAGGACUUUGGUUCUAUUUUGUUGGUUUAGCGCCAAAGUAAUGGUUAAUAGGAACAGUUGGGGGCAUUCGUAUUUAACUGUCAGAGGUGAAAUUCUUAGAAGGGCGA